This 1609-nucleotide long non-coding RNA is filed under the name Mytilus galloprovincialis (Mediterranean mussel). Lineage: Eukaryota; Metazoa; Mollusca; Bivalvia; Mytilida; Mytilidae. The record is from RNAcentral.
AAUCAUUGCCUUUCGCUGGAUCUAUAAAAUAUACAUUGUGAAUACGAUUAAGGAACGUCGAGAACAAAUAAAUUGGAAUGCAGAUUAUGAUACAAAACAAGCAAAAACUGGGAAAAUUAUUCAGUGUGUUUCGAUUAAUUUACAGAUAAAUUAUGAAAAUAUAUCCCUCAUGGUGUAUCGUUUCAUUCAUCCUACAGUUGCUGCAACACAUAGUUUGUGAAAAUUCACGUAAGUAUAAAGUCUGUUUGAUCUUUCUCAAAUAUUAUUGAAAUAUUUAAUUUUUCAUCUGUUAUUUGCGUGUUAGAGAGCAUCAAUUAUGGUUUUAAUGUUUUCUUUGAACAAGGAAGGGGGUGCUUCUUUCUUUUUUUUUCUUUACUUUUCGUUGUUGUUUCUUUUCGUUGGUGCAUCAAACUGUGCAUGGUUUAGCUCUGUUAAAAAUAACAAACAUACCGAUCUCCACGGAAAAUUCUAAACGGAAAAUUCCUUAGCAAAUUGCUAAAUCAAAUGCUCAAACACAUCAAACAAAUAAAUGGAUAACAACUGUCAUAUUUCUUAUUUCGUAUAUACAGGAAAACUCCACCAUUUACAUUUAAUCCAGCUGGUCACAUUGUUUAACUGUUGUCCUCAUUCAAUACAUUUGGAAUCAAGGUUUUCCUCUACUCUGCUGUAUACCAUAACGUAUUAGGUGUCUAUUUAAAAAACGGUUACUUUAAGGCCCAUCAAGUGCUCCAUUACACUCCUUUCCAUGUGACUUCACAAUUAUGAUGAAAUUACCGAAUCUAAGCGCAGUCUGUAUGGAAAUGUCUAUUGGGGUCUAUGAUUCAGAACAUCAAUACAAGCGCUGUACAUUUGGCUUUUGUCAAGUGUGUGUAGAAAGAUUGUGUCAUAGAUUCUAUUUCUCUGCUUUUACAUUUCGAGUUUAUAAGAUAUUUUGCAGUUAUAUAUGUUUUAGCAGAUGUAAACAAGUGUGCUUAAUAGUGACACAAUAUGAAAUGAUAAAGAAAGAAAAAAAGGUAUAUAAAUGUCAUACUGAGUUGUCGUUACAUAUCAAAAGUAACUUUAACUUUUGCAUAAUUAAGUAGCUUUUCAUUGCUGAUAGAAUUUCUUUUUUAGAUUUGAAACAGAAAAGUAAUUGGUUAGGUAAAACAGCUCUUAAUGAAACACUAAAACGGAUUACUGUGACAGAAAAGACUGAAUUAGAACCCGUUGUUGAAUUUCAUGACGAUUUAAAAUUAUACUUUCAAAUUGACUCUCAGUUUGAUAACAGUUCCAAUAUUCGUUUAAAAAGGGACACAUCGGGUUUCAUAGAAGCAAACAAUAUACAGGCAGAACGAAUUAAAACGAACAAAUUGUUUUCAAAACACGUAACAGCAGAUAUUGUAAAAGCUAAAAAUGUAAAGUCUAUGUCUAUCAUCAUUUCGAUUGGCAAAGCUUUCUCGCUCCAGAAAGUUCGGAGAAAGUCAGAUAACCGAGAGACCUAUGUUUUAAACAGAAAUGGGAUAGAUCCAACAGACACUUCUGUUACAAUCGUACUGAAGCGUGACGAUAGUGAUUCUGUUAAUAUAAACGGAUAUAACUCGGAUACAAUAAGACCGAAAAAAUACGCCAG